AAGCGAAAGACUGACAGUCCCUCCCAAACAGUGGUCUGGGAACCAACUCCAAUGGACGGGCUCUAUCGCUGAGGAAGGAGGCGACUUUUGUCUUAACUGCUCCAUUUGUCACCUGGGGCUGAGGGACAGAUUAGGCUCUCUGCUUUAAGAGCCGUGGCAACAUGAAAUGUCUGUGGGGGAUCUACCCAGAAAUGGAAAAGAAUGGCGUCCUAGUGUCUUUGUGGCAUGUUUCCAUCAAUCCCCAUCCAGGACAAAACCAGAAGUGAGGAGCCAGGCAGAUGAGGUUUGCCUAUAGACACCAGUCUAAAGCUGGAGGACUCUUAGUUCAGGUUGUACCUUGAGAAGAAAUGAAGCAGUUCCAACACACUGAAAUUUUAACGAGAAUAUUUCUCUGUUUCAUCUCCAUCCUUCCAUCUGGAACAACAUCUGGUCAGGUUUGGUAAAUCUUUGGCUCAGGCUAGUAAACCACAUGAACUUGGGACUUCUGAGAUAUGAUGGAGCUAAAACUAAGUCCAAGUUACCCAAGAAUGGACAAAUCAUUCCAGUUUCUGUUUUAAUCAACAUUGGAAUUAGGUGGCUAUUUGAAUUUCCAACCUGAGUGAGAUAGGGAGAUCUUCUUGUUGUCUGGUUUGUUUUUUCUGUCAUAUCCUACUCAUUGUAUCCCCAUUUUGGGGUUUUCUUGACAAAAUACUGGAGUAGUUUGCUCUAGUUCUCUAGCUUAUUUCACAGAUGAGAAAACCAAGGCAAACAGAGUUAAGUGACUUGCCCAGGGUCACACAGCUAGUAAGUGUCUAAGACCAGAUUUGAACUUGGAAAGAUGAGCCUUCCUUAUUCCAGCGCUGGCACUCUAUUGCAUCACCUAGCUAUCCCAGGGUAAUCCAGUUGCCAAAACAAAGCACAAAACACAAAAGGUGAAACUUACAGAGAGGCAGAUUUUGACUUGUUAUAACAAUAAACCUCCUAAAAAUUAGAGGCGUUGCA
RNAcentral lists this long non-coding RNA (981 nucleotides) under Monodelphis domestica (gray short-tailed opossum). Its description in RNAcentral is "lncRNA (ENSMODG00000030506.2)". Lineage: Eukaryota; Metazoa; Chordata; Mammalia; Didelphimorphia; Didelphidae. The record is from RNAcentral.